AAAUGAAAAAAGAUAGGAAAAAUUUACUGAAGUAAUUGAAACUAAAAUCAUAUUUAUCAAUUAAGAUAAUAAUCAAAAGAAAUAUAUAAUAAAAUAUAUAAUAAAAAUAUAUAAUAUAAGUAGCAAAUGUUGACAUAAAAGCGUUCACGGAAUUGCCCUUCGUUUCUAUUAAUAAUACUGAAGCGUUUCACAAGAGCGAGUAAUUGUGACAAGAUUUUUGCCGGCAACGAGUAUCCAAUAGUAUCCAAUAGUAUCGGCCACGAAUCGGAUGCAUUUGAUCCCCAGCAUGAUUCGUACACGAUCGCAGUCUCUUCGCGAGAAAGAUGUAUACUAUACGGGUAAAAAUUAUCGAUACCGCUUGGGCAUCAUUCGCAUCGCUAGAUUCUCUAUCCGAUUCACGAUCUUUCUAAAUCCGCCUUAAGAAAACCGCAUGAGUAUGAGCGAGACGGUAAAACCGGCGUGUAAUAUGAAAAUGAGAAAGAAAAGCUCGGAUAGUCUUGGAACCCGCGAGGCGAGCAUAUACACGAGAGAAGGGACAGAAAGAGGCAAUGCGAAGAAAGAAAGAGAAAGAUUGUCUUGCCCGGAGGGCGGAGCGGUGUGGAGGAGAGCAACGGGAAACGACGGAGCGAAGAGAAGGAGAAAUAUAGAAAGAGAGAAAGAGAUAGAAUGAAAAGGAAAAAGGUAAGAGUAGAGAAAGAAAAGAAGGAAGAAGAUGGACUUACGUAGAGAAGAUAGAAAAGGGGCAAAGGAAAGGAAGGAGAGUGGGAUGCUGCGAGAGAAGUAAGAGAGUAGAAUGUGCAGGCGAGAGUGGACGGACGGCAUACCACCACUACCGCUCCUUACCCCCCCUCGUUCCUUUCCUUCUUUCCUUCUCUGUUUCGCAGCGUGUCUUUUAUUAACCAAGGCCCGCUUCCCUGAGGCCACUUCUCUCCGCUGUCUUUUCUCUCUUUCUAUCAUUCUCUUUUCCCUCCCGCUCACCCGUCCGACCGAUCCCUCGGUCCCUCUCUAUUUCUCUUUCGCCGGAUCCGUGGCGGUUCUCUCGUGAGCCAGGGAGAGGUGCAGCGUCGAGAGCUCGCGAAAUGCCAGUGAUUCGACGCGACUUCGACUACGCGCACUACGAGAGUUUUUCUCCUUACGAGACGAGGGGAUCGUGUGCUUCGACUGAUGCUCGUUCCUCUGCCCUCCGCGAUAAGGGUAGACACGCGUCGCGACGCUCUGCGCCUUGACGAUUGGUCAGCCAUGCUUUCGAGGCCGGUAUGUGACGUGACGUUGCCGUUUCAGCGUAAUAUCAAUAACUUUGUGAUAUUGAAGAAAAAAACGAAAUUGAAGAAUCAUCUUUCUUGGAAUCGAUAUAUAAUGAUAGUGUGUAUAAUAAUUAGAUUUGUGGUUUGAAAUUUUGUAUAUGUUUGUAAAAUAAAAUUCAGUGAUUGUUCAGUGUUUAUAAUAUUUCUUCAAAUGAGAAUUGAUUGGUGAUUCAUUUUAAUAUAAAAUAAUAAAUAUAUAUAUAUAUAUAUUUGACAACAACGUAUAUGGCGAAGGAAAGGAUGAAAUCAAUGUCGUAAUCGUUUGAGGGCGGAGAAAGUAUCGUCGAAUAUCUUUUCAACGAUUCUAGAUGCUUUCGGAUGAAGUGCAUAUACGUACAAAA
This 1645-nucleotide long non-coding RNA is filed under the name Apis dorsata (giant honeybee). RNAcentral's name for it is "uncharacterized LOC116186634". The record is from RNAcentral. Lineage: Eukaryota; Metazoa; Arthropoda; Insecta; Hymenoptera; Apidae.